This 907-nucleotide ribosomal RNA is filed under the name uncultured Mycoplasma sp. Its description in RNAcentral is "bacterial SSU rRNA". It matches the Rfam family "Bacterial small subunit ribosomal RNA", at positions 42 to 936 of the family's 1533-position model. The record is from RNAcentral. Lineage: Bacteria; Bacillati; Mycoplasmatota; Mollicutes; Mycoplasmatales; Mycoplasmataceae.
GUAUGCAUAACACAUGCAAGUCGAACGAAAAAGGUCUUCGGGCCUUUUUAGUGGCAAACGGGCGAGUAACACAUAUUUAACUUGCUCAUCCGAGGAGAAUAGCAGCCCGAAAGGGCUAUUAAUACGCCAUAGUUUUAAAUUAGUGAAUUAAUUUAAAUUAAAGGAGGCUGCCGAAAGGUGGCCUCGCGGAUGAAUAGGAAUAUGUCCUAUUAGGUCGUUGGAGAGGUAAUGGCUCACCAAGCCGAUGAUGGGUAGCUGGACUGAGAGGUUGAACAGCCGCAAUGGGAUUGAGAAAUGGCCCAUAUUCCUACGGGAAGCAGCAGUGAGGAAUUUUUCACAAUGGACGAAAGUCUGAUGGAGCAAUACCACGUGAACGAUGAAGGUCUUCUGAUUGUAAAGUUCUUUUAUUUAGGAAAAAAAGCGCGGCAGGAAAUGGCCGCGCCUUGAUUGUACUAAUUGAAUAAGUGACAGCUAACUAUGUGCCAGCAGCUGCGGUAAAACAUAGGUCACGAGCAUUAUCCGGAUUUAUUGGGCGUAAAGGAAGCGUAGGCUGAAAUGUGUAUUCAUUGUUAAAAAUAUUUGCUUAACAAGUGUUCGCGGUGAAGAUUACAUUUCUAGAAUUAGUUAGAGGGUACUGGAAUUCAAUGUGUAGUGGUGGAAUACGUAGAUAUAUUGAGGAACACCAGAGGCUAAGGCGAGUGCCUGGAACAUAAUUGACGCUGAGGCUUGAAAGCGUGGGUAGCAAAUGGGAUUAGAUACCCCAGUAGUCCACGCCGUAAACGAUGGGUAUUAGUCAUUUGGAUUUAAGACUGAGUGAUGUAGCUAACGCGUUAAAUACCCCGCCUGGGUAGUAUAUAUGCAAAUAUGAAACUCAAAGAAAUUGACGGGGACCUGAACAAGUGGUGGA